Molecule: long non-coding RNA, 703 nt
Filed under: Gossypium raimondii (Peruvian cotton)
Lineage: Eukaryota; Viridiplantae; Streptophyta; Magnoliopsida; Malvales; Malvaceae
Description: long non-coding RNA (GRAI_LNC002178)
Source: RNAcentral
UCUUCUAUUUGGGACAAGCUGCAGGUGCUUACAAGCCCAUGACAAGGAACAGGGGUAGCAGAUAACCCAAGCCCAUAUUGCUACAACUUUACCAAAAAUUAAUCACAAUAAAUCCAACCCAAGUGUGAUUAUUUCUAUAAAUGAACCUAGCUUGACUAGUAUCAGUGGAGGAAAUAGAGGAUCAGGACCGAAACAUUGAGAUUCUUGAGAACCAGAAUGCAACCAAGGAUGGUGAAGAAGAGCCUAAGCAGUACUCUAAAGGUUCUUCAUCGCGAUUGCCAGAUAAAGAUCCAAAGAAGAUUUCACCUAGUGCCGGAAUAAGAGUUGGAUGGGGCGGCACAAUGAAGUGCCGAUUAAUGAUUCUAUAGGGAAAAUGGUGGAACUAAUUGAUCAGGAUUUUAAUGAAGUUAAUGAAGCCAUGGAAGGUAUUGAAGAAGAUGAGAACCAUGAGGGCAUUGGUGUUUAUAGUGGUGUCAAGGCAUAAUGUCAGGUUUAUCCUUUCUUAUGCUUUUAUUGUGAAUCCUAAAUUUCUUUUUUGGAAUGUGCAAGGGUGUGGUCAUUCCCGGUUUGUUAAUUUUCUUAAGGAAUACCUUAGCGAACAUAAGUUGGUCAUUGUAGUUUUGGUUGAAAAAAAUGUUUGUGAUCUAAGGCUAACUCCAUUAUAGAGAAAAUUGGUAUGUCGUAUUUUCAUUGUGUUGAAGCG